This 465-nucleotide ribosomal RNA is filed under the name uncultured Pseudomonas sp. RNAcentral's name for it is "bacterial SSU rRNA". It matches the Rfam family "Bacterial small subunit ribosomal RNA", at positions 338 to 795 of the family's 1533-position model. The record is from RNAcentral. Lineage: Bacteria; Pseudomonadati; Pseudomonadota; Gammaproteobacteria; Pseudomonadales; Pseudomonadaceae.
CCUACGGGUGGCUGCAGUGGGGAAUAUUGGACAAUGGGGGGAACCCUGAUCCAGCCAUGCCGCGUGUGUGAAGAAGGUCUUAGGAUUGUAAAGCACUUUAAGUUGGGAGGAAGGGCAGUUAACUAAUAUUUGACUGUUUUGACGUUACCGACAGAAUAAGCACCGGCUAACUUCGUGCCAGCAGCCGCGGUAAUACGAAGGGUGCAAGCGUUAAUCGGAAUUACUGGGCGUAAAGCGCGCGUAGGUGGUUCGUUAAGUUAGGAGUGAAAGCCCCGGGCUCAACCUGGGAAUUGCUUCUAAAACUGGCGGGCUAGAGUAUGGUAGAGGGUGGUGGAAUUUCCUGUGUAGCGGUGAAAUGCGUAGAUAUAGGAAGGAACAUCAGUGGCGAAGGCGACCACCUGGACUGAUACUGACACUGAGGUGCGAAAGCGUGGGGAGCAAACAGGAUUAGAUACCCGAGUAGUC